AGAGAGAGAGAGAGAGAGAAGAUGGUCGUGAGUUUGAGGGAUUUAUUUUUUAUUUUUUUAUUUUUUAAUUAUUUUUAAUUAUAAUUUCAUUAAGGAUAUAUAUGUCAAGUUAUUCAAAAAGUGGAUAUUAUUUAUAGGGUAAAUAUCAUAUUAAACCUUAAACUAGGGUCGUAAAUGAAUCGAAUCGAAGCGAAUAUCACUGUAUUCGAUUUGUAUUCAUGAAAUUAUUUAAGAUUCGAAUCAAUAUUCGAAUACCUUUCGAAU
This 264-nucleotide long non-coding RNA is filed under the name Salvia miltiorrhiza (redroot sage). Its description in RNAcentral is "long non-coding RNA (SMIL_LNC012715)". Lineage: Eukaryota; Viridiplantae; Streptophyta; Magnoliopsida; Lamiales; Lamiaceae. The record is from RNAcentral.